GGUCGACCCGCUGAAUUUAAGCAUAUCAAUAAGCGGAGGAAAAGAAACUAACAAGGAUUCCCUUAGUAGCGGCGAGCGAAGAGGGAUUAGCCCAAAACCGAAUCCUGUAGCUCAAGCUACUAGGAAAUGUGGUUUAUGGUUCUUUACCUACGGUACAUUGGAGUUGCUUUAAGUCCACGUGAUUGUGGCUUCAAGCCCAGAGAGGGUGUAAGGCCCGUACAAGUAGCACGAUGUAUCCUGGUGAAGUACCUCGAGUCGGGUUGUUUGGGAAUGCAGCCCAAAUCGGGUGGUAAACUCCAUCCAAGGCUAAAUACAACACGAGUCCGAUAGUGAACAAGUACCAUGAGGGAAAGUUGAAAAGAACUUUGAAGAGAGAGUUCAAUAGUGCGUGAAACCGCUCAAGGAGAAACGGACAGAACUGAAGGAUGAGCGUCGCAUUUGUAUUUCACUAUAAUACAUGGAGUGGGUGCUGAGACAGCUUUAACUGCUCUCACUUGUUUUUUGUGCUUAAUAGUGUUGUGCUAUUGUGUGCGUUCUAACACCACGAUCAGUAACUUAGUUGGCUUGCCAUUGUAAAGAAGAUAGCUUGGUUCGCCAAGUGUUAUAGCUUUGCUUUGCAACGCCAACAAAAUACUGUUUUGCAAUGAUUGUCAAAGUUUCAUGUAUAGUUGUUGGUGGUAUGAAGUAGUGCAUUUGACUCAUUUAAGAGACAUUUGAACUAUCCGAGUGCUGCUUGUGACCCUCUACGUGAGACAUCCACAAUCUGUGGUGCAAUUGUAAGUAAUCUGUCCGACCCGUCUUGAAACACGGACCAAGGAGUUUAACAUGUGCGCGAGUCAUAGGGUUCUACGAAACCUAAAGGCGCAGUGAAAGUAAAGAUUUGCUUUUGCAGGUCAAGGUAGGAUCUUGGUUUUUAAUGUGUGUUAAACACAUAGACUGAGCGCACUACCGGCUCGUCCCAUGCUUUAUUAAGUGGGGCGACGCAAGAGCGCACAUGUUGAGACCCGAAAGAUGGUGAACUAUGCUUGAGUAGGUUGAAGCCAGAGGAAACUCUGGUGGAGGACCGUAGCAAUUCUGACGUGCAAAUCGAUUGUCAAACUUGAGUAUAGCGGCGAAAGACUAAUCGAACCAUCUAGUAGCUGGUUCCCUCGGAAGUUUCCCUCAGGAUAGCUGGCACUCGGGAAACAAACAGUUUUAUCCGGUAAAGCGAAUGAUUAGCAGUAUUGGGGAUGACAUAUCCUCAACUGAUUCUCAAACUUUAAAUGGGUGAGAUGCUCUACUCUCUUAAUUGGAGUUGGGCUCUACUGAAUGUGAGUGCCUAGUGGGCCAUUUUUGGUAAGCAGAACUGGCGCUGUGGGAUGAACCAAACGUCUGGUUAAGGAGCCAAACAUAACGCUCAUGAGAUACCACAAAAGGUGUUGGUUGAUAUUGACAGCAGGACGGUGGCCAUGGAAGUUGGAAUCCGCUAAGGAGUGUGUAACAACUCACCUGCCAAAUCAACUGGCCCUGAAAAUGGAUGGCGCUGGAGCGUUGGUCCUAUACCAGACCGUUAGCGUGAAUGGCAAUGUAUACGCUAACGAGUACGAGGGCGCUGUGGCGAGCAUUGAAGUCUAUGCCGUGAGGCUAGAUGAAGCCGCCACGGGUGCAGAUCUUGGUGGUAGUAGCAAAUAUUCAAGUGAGAACCUUGAAG
RNAcentral lists this ribosomal RNA (1690 nucleotides) under Gyratrix hermaphroditus. RNAcentral describes it as "partial large subunit ribosomal RNA". It matches the Rfam family "Eukaryotic large subunit ribosomal RNA", at positions 23 to 1489 of the family's 3401-position model. Lineage: Eukaryota; Metazoa; Platyhelminthes; Rhabdocoela; Polycystididae. The record is from RNAcentral.